Molecule: ribosomal RNA, 483 nt
Filed under: uncultured bacterium
Lineage: Bacteria
Description: partial 16S ribosomal RNA
Rfam family: Bacterial small subunit ribosomal RNA
Source: RNAcentral
GACGAACGCUGGCGGCGUGCUUAACACAUGCAAGUCGAACGAUGAAGCCGGAGCUUGCUCCGGUGGAUCAGUGGCGAACGGGUGAGUAACACGUGAGCAAUCUGCCCUUGACUCUGGGAUAACUGCGGGAAACUGUAGCUAAUACCGGAUACGACACCUUGGGGCAUCCCAGGGUGUGGAAAGAAUUUCGGUCAAGGAUGAGCUCGCGGCCUAUCAGCUAGUUGGUGAGGUAAUGGCUCACCAAGGCGACGGCGGGUAGCCGGCCUGGGAGGGUAGCCGGCCACACUGGAACUGAGACACGGGCCAGCCUCCUACGGGAGGCAGCAGUGGGGAAUAUUGCACAAUGGGCGAAAGCCUGAUGCAGCAACGCCGGGUGAGGGAUGAAGGCCUUCGGGUUGUAAACCUCUUUUAGCAGGGAAGAAGCGAAAGUGACGGUACCUGCAGAAAAAGCACCGGCUAACUACGUGCCAGCAGCCGCCGUAA